GAUGAAGAACGCAGCGAAAUGCGAUACGUAAUGUGAAUUGCAAAUUCAGUGAAUCAUCGAGUCCUUGAACGCACAUUGCGCCCCCUGGUAUUCCGGGGGGCAUGCCUGUCCGAGCGUCAUUGCUGCCCUCAAGCACGGCUUGUGUGUUGGGCCCCGUCCUCCGAUCCCGGGGGACGGGCCCGAAAGGCAGCGGCGGCACCGCGUCCGGUCCUCGAGCGUAUGGGGCUUUGUCACCCGCUCUGUAGGCCCGGCCGGCGCUUGCCGAUCAACCCAAAUUUUUUAUCCAGGUUGACCUCGGAUCAGGUAGGGAUACCCGCUGAACUUAAGCAUAUCAAUAAGCGGAGGA
RNAcentral lists this unclassified non-coding RNA (346 nucleotides) under soil metagenome. RNAcentral's name for it is "partial contains 5.8S ribosomal RNA, internal transcribed spacer 2, and large subunit ribosomal RNA". The stretch from base 1 to 119 matches the Rfam family "5.8S ribosomal RNA", at positions 35 to 154 of the family's 154-position model. The record is from RNAcentral.